This 180-nucleotide unclassified non-coding RNA is filed under the name uncultured Ascomycota. Its description in RNAcentral is "sequence contains ITS2". Lineage: Eukaryota; Fungi; Ascomycota. The record is from RNAcentral.
CAACCCCUCAGCCGGGAUGGCCUUGCGCUGUUCCGGCUGGUUUUGGGCCCGGAAUCCCUAACGGGAGCCGGCCUUAAAUUGGCACGCUCUGCGGCACCCUCCGCCUCUGGAACAUAGUAUAAACGCUCAUUGUUCUCUGUGGCCGGUCGGGUCGUCCGCCUGUACAAACCCAUCAUCAAG